UGGGGCGUAGUAUAAUGGUAGUACACCUGGUUUUGGUCCAGGCAGUUGGGGUUCGAAUCCCUGCGCCCCAGCAA
RNAcentral lists this transfer RNA (74 nucleotides) under Fidelibacterota bacterium. RNAcentral describes it as "tRNA-Gln". It matches the Rfam family "tRNA". From Rfam's summary of the family: Transfer RNA (tRNA) molecules are approximately 80 nucleotides in length. Their secondary structure includes four short double-helical elements and three loops (D, anti-codon, and T loops). Further hydrogen bonds mediate the characteristic L-shaped molecular structure. tRNAs have two regions of fundamental functional importance: the anti-codon, which is responsible for specific mRNA codon recognition, and the 3' end, to which the tRNAs corresponding amino acid is attached (by aminoacyl-tRNA synthetases). tRNAs cope with the degeneracy of the genetic code in two manners: having more than one tRNA (with a specific anti-codon) for a particular amino acid; and 'wobble' base-pairing, i.e. permitting non-standard base-pairing at the 3rd anti-codon position. The record is from RNAcentral. Lineage: Bacteria; Pseudomonadati; Fidelibacterota.